UACGUAGGGUGCAAGCGUUGUCCGGAAUUAUUGGGCGUAAAGAGCUCGUAGGCGGUUUGUCGCGUCUGCUGUGAAAACUCGGGGCUUAACCCCGGGCCUGCAGUGGGUACGGGCAGACUAGAGUGCGGUAGGGGAGACUGGAAUUCCUGGUGUAGCGGUGAAAUGCGCAGAUAUCAGGAGGAACACCGGUGGCGAAGGCGGUUAGCUGGGCAGUUGCUGACACUGAGGCGCGACAGCGUGGGGAGCAAACAGG
This 253-nucleotide ribosomal RNA is filed under the name uncultured bacterium. RNAcentral describes it as "partial 16S ribosomal RNA". It matches the Rfam family "Bacterial small subunit ribosomal RNA", at positions 524 to 776 of the family's 1533-position model. The record is from RNAcentral.